CCUACGGGGGGCAGCAGUGAGGAAUAUUGGUCAAUGGACGAGAGUCUGAACCAGCCAAGUAGCGUGAAGGAUGACUGCCCUAUGGGUUGUAAACUUCUUUUAUAUGGGAAUAAAAUGUUCCACGUGUGGGAUUUUGUAUGUACCAUAUGAAUAAGGAUCGGCUAACUCCGGGCCAGCAGCCGCGGUAAUACGGAGGAGCCGAGCGUUAUCCGGAUUUAUUGGGUUUAAAGGGAGCGUAGGUGGAUUGUUAAGUCAGUUGUGAAAGUUUGCGGCUCAACCGUAAAAUUGCAGUUGAAACUGGCAGUCGUGAGUACAGUAGAGGUGGGCGGAAUUCGUGGUGUAGCGGUGAAAUGCUUAGAUAUCACGAAGAACUCCGAUUGCGAAGGCAGCUCACUGGACUGCAACUGACACUGAGGCUCGAAAGUGUGGGUAUCAAACAGGAUUAGAUACCCGUGUAGUC
This 460-nucleotide ribosomal RNA is filed under the name uncultured bacterium. RNAcentral's name for it is "partial 16S ribosomal RNA". It matches the Rfam family "Bacterial small subunit ribosomal RNA", at positions 338 to 795 of the family's 1533-position model. The record is from RNAcentral.